GACAGAGGAUGCAAGCGUUAUCCGGAAUGAUUGGGCGUAAAGCGUCUGUAGGUGGCUUUUUAAGUUCGCCGUCAAAUCCCAGGGCUCAACCCUGGACAGGUGGUGGAAACUACCAAGCUAGAGUACGGUAGGGGCAGAGGGAAUUUCCGGUGGAGCGAUGAAAUGCGUAGAGAUCGGAAGGAACACCCAAGGCGAAAGCACUCUGCUGGGCCGACACUGACACUGAGAGACGAAGGCCAGGGGAGCAAACAGG
Molecule: ribosomal RNA, 253 nt
Filed under: uncultured bacterium
Lineage: Bacteria
Description: partial 16S ribosomal RNA
Rfam family: Bacterial small subunit ribosomal RNA
Source: RNAcentral